RNAcentral lists this ribosomal RNA (253 nucleotides) under uncultured bacterium. RNAcentral describes it as "partial 16S ribosomal RNA". It matches the Rfam family "Bacterial small subunit ribosomal RNA", at positions 524 to 776 of the family's 1533-position model. The record is from RNAcentral.
UACGUAGGUGGCAAGCGUUGUCCGGAAUCAUUGGGCGUAAAGAGCGUGUAGGCGGCCAGAAAAGUCCGCUGUGAAAACUCGAGGCUCAACUUCGAGCUGUCGGUGGAAACUUUCUGGCUAGAGUCCGGAAGAGGAGAAUGGAAUUCCUGGUGUAGCGGUGAAAUGCGCAGAUAUCAGGAAGAACACCCGUGGCGAAGGCGGUUCUCUGGGACGGUACUGACGCUGAGACGCGAAAGCGUGGGGAGCGAACAGG